Long non-coding RNA from Anguilla anguilla (European eel), 450 nucleotides. RefSeq lists it as uncharacterized. The transcript is spliced from 3 exons. NCBI's taxonomy places the organism in Eukaryota, Metazoa, Chordata, Actinopteri, Anguilliformes, Anguillidae. The record is from RefSeq and is a predicted model, not a curated record.
GGGAGGGUUACUGUGCUACCUGCUGCCCUGCAUCAGUAACGUUUGAUUACUCGGGAGGACAACACAUACUUUGACAAAUUUCAACAUGACCCCACUGAAAAUUCUUGCUGCUGCAGUUCCUCGAAUUAUUGAUACAUGUCGUAUCAUGUGGGCCAUUCAAAAUCAGAGUUGAUCAGGCACAGGGAGCCACAGCUGGAUCAGACAGACCCACAGAGACAGCCCCUGGCACAGGCCCAUAACGACAGGAAUGACGCCUCAGUACAGCGCUUCCCCUGGUACACAAAGAAGGAGAUGGUGUUAAUAAUGAGCAGGCGGAUGGGGAGGGGGAGGGGGAUAAUGCUGAUAGAGGUGGCAAUGGCAAUGGUGAUGGGAAGGGGGAGGGAUUAAUUUUAUGAGUUUGUUAGGAUUUUGCCCCCAUUAAAUUUUUAAUAAAUGAAAUGAUUGACGUCA